RNAcentral lists this ribosomal RNA (472 nucleotides) under uncultured Streptococcus sp. RNAcentral's name for it is "bacterial SSU rRNA". It matches the Rfam family "Bacterial small subunit ribosomal RNA", at positions 907 to 1382 of the family's 1533-position model. Lineage: Bacteria; Bacillati; Bacillota; Bacilli; Lactobacillales; Streptococcaceae. The record is from RNAcentral.
UAGAAUUGACGGGGCCCGCACAAGCAGCGGAGCAUGUGGUUAAUUCGAAGCAACGCGAAGAACCUUACCUAGACUUGACAUCUCCUGAAUUACCCGUAACUGGGGAAGCUCUUCGGAGCAGGAAGACAGGUGGUGCAUGGUUGUCGUCAGCUCGUGUCGUGAGAUGUUGGGUUAAGUCCCGCAACGAGCGCAACCCCUAUUGUUAGUUGCCAUCAUUCAGUUGGGCACUCUAGCGAGACUGCCGGUAAUAAACCGGAGGAAGGUGGGGAUGACGUCAAAUCAUCAUGCCCCUUAUGACCUGGGCUACACACGUGCUACAAUGGUUGGUACAACGAGUUGCGAGUCGGUGACGGCGAGCUAAUCUCUUAAAGCCAAUCUCAGUUCGGAUUGUAGGCUGCAACUCGCCUACAUGAAGUCGGAAUCGCUAGUAAUCGCGGAUCAGCACGCCGCGGUGAAUACGUUCCCGGGCCUU